AGGGGUAUAGCUCAGUCGGCAGAGCGACGGUCUCCAAAACCGUAGGUCGCGGGUUCGAGUCCUGCUGCCCCUG
Molecule: transfer RNA, 73 nt
Filed under: invertebrate metagenome
Description: tRNA-Trp-CCA
Rfam family: tRNA
About the family: Transfer RNA (tRNA) molecules are approximately 80 nucleotides in length.
Source: RNAcentral